UCUGGUGACGAUUGCGAAGAGGUCACACCCGUUCCCAUCCCGAACACGGAAGUUAAGCUCUUCAG
This 65-nucleotide ribosomal RNA is filed under the name Escherichia coli. The record is from RNAcentral. Lineage: Bacteria; Pseudomonadati; Pseudomonadota; Gammaproteobacteria; Enterobacterales; Enterobacteriaceae.